This is a long non-coding RNA of Cyprinus carpio carpio, 482 nucleotides long. Lineage: Eukaryota; Metazoa; Chordata; Actinopteri; Cypriniformes; Cyprinidae. The record is from Ensembl.
AUUCAGCUUUGCUCAAAGAGGCUGUUGACUGGGGAGGAGAGUGUUGUUUUGCACAGCCGGCUGACGCAGGUGCCUGCAGACACUGCUGGCGCUCAACCAGAUUAACAAGAGUGAUGGCAGCAGUGAGGGAAACUGAAAAACACAGAAGCAUCAAGUCAUUUUUCAUAGAAUGAUUUAUCAUUUACCUGGGGAUGGACACUGUCAAGGUAGCCCAAGAUGCUGGGAUAAAACAAAAUGUGAGCUGUGGGCAGGUCUUAUCUAAACCCCGCCCCUCACUCCUGCUGCUGAGGUGGCUGUGGAGAGUUCUGGGAAAAACAACAAAGGCAAUAGAGGAAAAAGAGAGGGGGGAGGGCGGACCAUGAGCUCACCCCCUGAAUGCUGGCCAAGUCGAUAGUCAGAUCUGGCCUGCAUAGCAGCAGAAAGCAAAGGAGAGACAGAAAGAGUGAGAGAGGGAGGGUAGAAGAGGACGAAUCCCUCCGCCG